GAAGGCGAGGACUUGGGCCAAUACUGACGCUUAGGCUUGAAAGUGUGGGGAGCAAAUAGGAUUAGAUACCCUAGUAGUCCACACUGUAAACGAUGGAUGUUAAGUGUCGGAGCGAAUACUUCGGUGCUGCAGUUAACACAUUAAACAUCCUGCCUGAGUAGUACAUUCGCAAGAAUGAAACUCAAACGGAAUUGACGGGGACCCGCACAAGUGGUGGAGCAUGUUGCUUAAUUCGACGGUACACGAAAAACCUUACCUAGACUUGACAUCUUGGGCGAAGCUAUAGAAAUAUAGUGGAGGUCAACCCAAUGACAGGUGGUGCAUGGUUGUCGUCAGCUCGUGUCGUGAGAUGUUGGGUUAAGUCCCGCAACGAGCGCAACCCUUAUCGUUAGUUACUUUGUCUAACGAGACUGCCAACGUAAGUUGGAGGAAGGUGGGGAUGACGUCAAAUCAUCAUGCCCCUUAUGUCUAGGGCUGCAAACGUGCUACAAUGGCCAAUACAAACA
Molecule: ribosomal RNA, 506 nt
Filed under: Mycoplasmoides gallisepticum
Lineage: Bacteria; Bacillati; Mycoplasmatota; Mycoplasmoidales; Mycoplasmoidaceae
Description: bacterial SSU rRNA
Rfam family: Bacterial small subunit ribosomal RNA
Source: RNAcentral